GCGCAGCAGUCGAGAAACCUUCGCAAUGCAGGAAACUGCGACGAGGGAACUCCAAGUGCCUACGCUCAGCGUAGGCUGUUCUCAAGCCUAGAAAGCUUGAGGAGUAAGGGCUGGGGUAAGACGGGGUGCCAUCUGUGGUAGCAGUCAAUAGAUUCGAUUUGUACUGCAAGGCAUAAGCCGCCGCGGUAAUACCCGCAGCCCAAGUGGUGGCCGCUUUUA
This 219-nucleotide ribosomal RNA is filed under the name uncultured microorganism. RNAcentral's name for it is "partial 16S ribosomal RNA". It matches the Rfam family "Archaeal small subunit ribosomal RNA", at positions 330 to 503 of the family's 1478-position model. The record is from RNAcentral.